GAUGAACGCUGGCGGCGUGCCUAAUACAUGCAAGUCGAGCGAACAGACGAGGAGCUUGCUCCUCUGACGUUAGCGGCGGACGGGUGAGUAACACGUGGAUAACCUACCUAUAAGACUGGGAUAACUUCGGGAAACCGGAGCUAAUACCGGAUAAUAUAUUGAACCGCAUGGUUCAAUAGUGAAAGACGGUUUUGCUGUCACUUAUAGAUGGAUCCGCGCCGCAUUAGCUAGUUGGUAAGGUAACGGCUUACCAAGUCAACGAUGCGUAGCCGACCUGAGAGGGUGAUCGGCCACACUGGAACUGAGACACGGUCCAGACUCCUACGGGAGGCAGCAGUAGGGAAUCUUCCGCAAUGGGCGAAAGCCUGACGGAGCAACGCCGCGUGAGUGAUGAAGGUCUUCGGAUCGUAAAACUCUGUUAUUAGGGACGAACAAAUGUGUAAGUAACUAUGCACGUCUUGACGGUACCUAAUCAGAAAGCCCCGGCUAACUACGUG
This 497-nucleotide ribosomal RNA is filed under the name uncultured bacterium. RNAcentral describes it as "partial 16S ribosomal RNA". It matches the Rfam family "Bacterial small subunit ribosomal RNA", at positions 28 to 507 of the family's 1533-position model. The record is from RNAcentral.